Molecule: ribosomal RNA, 497 nt
Filed under: uncultured bacterium
Lineage: Bacteria
Description: partial 16S ribosomal RNA
Rfam family: Bacterial small subunit ribosomal RNA
Source: RNAcentral
GAUGAACGCUGGCGGCGUGCCUAAUACAUGCAAGUCGAGCGAACGGACGAGAAGCUGGCUUCUCUGAUGUUAGCGGCGGAGGGGUGAGUAACAUGGGGAUAACCUACCUAUAAGACUGGGAUAACUUCGGGAAACCGGAGCUAAUACCGGAUAAUAUUUGGAAACGCAUGGGUCAAAAGUGAAAGACGGUCUUGCUGUCACUUAUAGAUGGAUCCGCGCGUCAUUAGCUAGUUGGUAAGGUAACGGCUUACCAAGGCAACGAUGCAUAGCCGACCUGAGAGGGUGAUCCGCUACCCUGGAACUGAGACACGGCCCAGACUCCUACGGGAGGCAGCAGUGGGGAAUCUUCCGCAAUGGGCGAAAGCCUGACGUAGCAACGCCGCGUGAGUGAUGAAGGUCUUCGGAUCGUUAAACUCUGUUAUCCGGGAAGAACUUAUGUGCAAGUACCUGUGCACAUCUUGACGGUACCUAAUCAGUAAGCCCCGGCUAACUACGUG